AGUGAACGCUGGCGGUAGGCCUAACACAUGCAAGUCGAACGGCAGCACAGUAUGAGCUUGCUCUUACGGGUGGCGGGUGGCGGACGGGUGAGGAAUACAUCGGAAUCUACUUUUUCGUGGGGGAUAACGUAGGGAAACUUACGCUAAUACCGCAUACGACCUACGGGUGAAAGCAGGGGAACUUCGGACCUUGCGCGAUUGAAUGCGCCGAUGUCGGAUUAGCUAGUUGGCGGGGUAAAGGCCCACCAAGGCGACGAUCGGUAGCUGGUCGGAGUGGAGGAUCAGCCACACUGGAACUGAGACACGGUCCAGACUCCUACGGGAGGCAGCAGUGGGGAAUAUUGGACAAUGGGCGCAAGCCUGAUCCAGCCAUACCGCGUGGGUGAAGAAGGCGUUCGGGUUGUAAAGCCCUUUUGUUGGGAAAGAAAAGCAGCAGGUUAAUACCCCGCUGUUCUGACGGUACCCAAAGAAUAAGCACCGGCUAACUUCGUG
Molecule: ribosomal RNA, 492 nt
Filed under: uncultured bacterium
Lineage: Bacteria
Description: partial 16S ribosomal RNA
Rfam family: Bacterial small subunit ribosomal RNA
Source: RNAcentral